AUGACGAUCAGAAGAAUGCCAACGAUCGCCAAAACCAGAGCUGCAGAGGCGGUGAUGAUCUGGCAUUGCUGUUGGUUACCCAUGGAUGCCGUGUAUGCGACGCGAUCCAGCGAGGAAAAGUGAUAGCAACGACAUUUGUUGGCGCUCAGGGGAAAUGAAAAUGUGCUACCUAUCACACUGAGCGGUGUAAUCUCUGAUUUCUGGGUCGUUGAUGCCGGUAAUGCGCUCCUCAGGCCGAUCCAGCACUAGGAAGGCUGCCAAAUUGGCAGUAUAGGAUGCAACUAUAAUCAUAGCAAAGCCAGCCCACACCAUACCUAAAAUCCUCGCUGAAAAGCUCCGUGGGGCACCUGCGAACGUAAGCAGGCAGCAGUACGCCCCAGGAGAACCACAUGGCAGAAGAUAAGCGGUCUAAUAGGUAGAGCAUCACCGCCACAACAUGGACCGAUAGACCCACCAGUAACCACAGAGUGCUCUGAAAGGGCUGCAUGAAUGAGUCAAGCGUACUGCGUGGUAUUUCCUGCAAAACAAAACAGAUUUUUACACAGCCUAAAAAACACCACCCACAUUACCACAUGCAUCACCAUAUGGAGCAUCACACGCAGUCUACUGUGCUUGUCAGAGGUGUAUUAUUAGGCCUUAGUGUACUCCAGUGAGUCGGAUGAUUUUUCACAGCUUUUCUGGAGUACAGACAUCAGCCCACUUAAGGGAAUUUAAUAAGUGAGCAAACUGUAACACAAUCUCUGACACAGAAAGCAUGCUCUCAGAGGAUUUUACUGGAAAUUAAUUAUAUUUCUGUUACUUGUAUAUAAAAUUGACUCCUCACUAUCAUUAAUUCCUUGGUAAAAUUAGAUUAAAUAAAUACAGUUUAAAGUAUAGCACAGUAUGUACAGUAGAUUUAAACAGGCUAUUUUUAAUACCUUUUUGACAAGGAUUGUGAGCCCCUGGUACUUGAACGGUUUCGAGAACUCUAUAUAUUGGGCUCGUUCAUUGUUUAUUGUAAGUGGAGCCACAAUCAUAUCUGCCAAACCACUCAGGAGUUCUCCCAUCAUGCCAUUCCACUCCUUCUUGUUGCUGUUAUUUACCUGAUAUUAAGAAAAUAGUAUUAGUCGUGUCACAUUUAUUUGUAACCUUGAAAAUCUUAUUAUGAGAUUAGGUGCAUUAAAGUUUGAUUUCAGUCAUUGAUUUCAGUCUUUGACAUGACCUUA
This is a non-coding RNA of Misgurnus anguillicaudatus (oriental weatherfish), 1205 nucleotides long. The record is from RefSeq and is a predicted model, not a curated record. NCBI's taxonomy places the organism in Eukaryota, Metazoa, Chordata, Actinopteri, Cypriniformes, Cobitidae.